RNAcentral lists this ribosomal RNA (550 nucleotides) under Escherichia coli. RNAcentral describes it as "partial 23S ribosomal RNA". It matches the Rfam family "Bacterial large subunit ribosomal RNA", at positions 2393 to 2925 of the family's 2925-position model. The record is from RNAcentral. Lineage: Bacteria; Pseudomonadati; Pseudomonadota; Gammaproteobacteria; Enterobacterales; Enterobacteriaceae.
GCAGGUGCGAAAGCAGGUCAUAGUGAUCCGGUGGUUCUGAAUGGAAGGGCCAUCGCUCAACGGAUAAAAGGUACUCCGGGGAUAACAGGCUGAUACCGCCCAAGAGUUCAUAUCGACGGCGGUGUUUGGCACCUCGAUGUCGGCUCAUCACAUCCUGGGGCUGAAGUAGGUCCCAAGGGUAUGGCUGUUCGCCAUUUAAAGUGGUACGCGAGCUGGGUUUAGAACGUCGUGAGACAGUUCGGUCCCUAUCUGCCGUGGGCGCUGGAGAACUGAGGGGGGCUGCUCCUAGUACGAGAGGACCGGAGUGGACGCAUCACUGGUGUUCGGGUUGUCAUGCCAAUGGCACUGCCCGGUAGCUAAAUGCGGAAGAGAUAAGUGCUGAAAGCAUCUAAGCACGAAACUUGCCCCGAGAUGAGUUCUCCCUGACCCUUUAAGGGUCCUGAAGGAACGUUGAAGACGACGACGUUGAUAGGCCGGGUGUGUAAGCGCAGCGAUGCGUUGAGCUAACCGGUACUAAUGAACCGUGAGGCUUAACCUUACAACGCCGAAG